UGCCCGGUGGUGAAAUGGCAUCACACCGCCCUUUGGAGGCGAGGUUCGAGGUUCGAAUCCUCGCCGGGCAGCCA
Molecule: transfer RNA, 74 nt
Filed under: Candidatus Omnitrophota bacterium
Lineage: Bacteria; Pseudomonadati; Candidatus Omnitrophota
Description: tRNA-Gln
Rfam family: tRNA
About the family: Transfer RNA (tRNA) molecules are approximately 80 nucleotides in length. Their secondary structure includes four short double-helical elements and three loops (D, anti-codon, and T loops).
Source: RNAcentral